ACCUUAUCCCGUGGUGAUUUGGCCGGUCGGCUUGCAGCCACGUUAAACAAGUCGCUAAAGGACCGAUUUCGGACCGGU
RNAcentral lists this non-coding RNA (78 nucleotides) under Hyphomicrobiales bacterium. Lineage: Bacteria; Pseudomonadati; Pseudomonadota; Alphaproteobacteria; Hyphomicrobiales. The record is from RNAcentral.